GUGAGUAUAUCUGCGCACACGCACAGCCAGGAGUACACUUGUAUGUGAGAAAAGACUGUUUGACCAAGCUGGAUUCCUUGUCUAUGUGCCUGGGCAAGGCAUGGUUUCCCAUAUGUGUUCCUUCCUGCUGUGUUUUAUUGCUUGGGGUGCCCAUCUUCCGCUCUUGGGAGAUACAUUAGUAAUCCGUGUUCCAGAGGUUUACUUUCAAAGUUUUCAAUGACCUGUGGUUAAGUGAGAUCCCAGAAUAUGAAACGGAAAAUUACAGUAAAAAAAAAAUUCUAAGUUUGGAAUUGCGUGCUGUUCUGUGUAGUGUGAUGAAAUCUUUUACCACACCAACCAGGACAUGAAUCACCCCAUAGCCUAGCACAGCAUGCUGCAUGCGUCACAGAGCUGUUAGUCACUCCCUAGCUGUCUCCUUCGUCAGACCAACUGUUGCAUAUCACAGUGCUGUGGAGCUGGUGAUUCAGGUAUGUCCUCCCAAGGGACAAAGAGUGAGUUGGGGGUAUCAGUCAUGUGCCGCACAAACACCCCACUUCUUUCUUCCAUCCAGCACAUGAAACAGAAGCACCCAUUGAACACCAGUCUCUGAAUAAAGGAAUCUGUUUGCAGAGCCCCCUGCUGGCCGGUGGUGGACACACAGUACAAAAGAGAAAUCACCACACUGCUUUACAUUUCUGAGCAGGCUUGUUACUGCAGCAUGACACAACCUCUUCUGGCUAAAUAAAUAAUCUGGUCCUCAACGCCUUUGUCUGGCACAGCAGCUCUCUGAGAGAGAGGAGAGGAAUACAUUGUUCCCAUUUGUAAGGUGAAGAAACUGGCACCAAGAGAAUGAGACAGAGGCCGAAUGAAGACACUGUGGCCAGCAACUUAUGCUCACUGUCAGAGGAGAACAGCUGCUCCAAGCAGGAAAGCUGGUCAGAGACUAGUGACUUCCUCACCUGGUGAAGGUCAUUUGAUGACUCAGUAUCAAAGUCAGCACUAAAAUGAAAACAACAAUAACAAGAAAAGGUAACAAUUGUUGGCAAGAGCCCUGUGUGUUACUGACAGAAAGUUAGAUGGUACAGCCCCUGAGGAUAAACGGUAAGGUGGUACCUCAAAAAAUUAAACGUGACUUACCUGAAGAUACAGAAACUUCAUUCCCACCUGCCAGCGGGUCCAGAGGAACCAGAGAAGAUAUUUGUAAACCUACAUUGUUAACAACGUUAUUUACAUUAUCUAGAAGGCAGAAGCAACCCUUGUCCAUAAUAGGCAAACGGACACACCACAUGGCAUGUACACCUCCCAGGGAAUCUCAUUUCAUUGUUGAAGGAAGAAAAUGCCAGGGCACCCUGCAGCAGAAGGAACAUGGAGGACACUGGGGAGGGGCCAGCUGGACCAGGAUGAGACUCUACUUUGAAAGAAAUGCCACAGAGCUUCUAGAUAUCAAUCACAUACAAGAGGCAGCUGAGGGGUGAGUUCAGCUAAAUAUCCCAUUAAGUUGCCUGUGGUCUUCCCCUCCGCUGAGGAGGAGGGGAAAAAAGCAUUGGGGGGAGAGCACUGGCACUUCAGUAAUCCCUACAAAACUUGGACCUCCCGUGUAGUGCUGGGUGUAGGUAAGGCACAGGAUAACUGGUAUGGAAAGCAGUAUGACAGAGCCUGAAAAUUCUAAACACAGGACUGACAAGUGCUCUGGUGGUCUACCUCUGGGUUUCUAACCCAGACAAUCAAGAGCAGAGAUUCUGGAGGGCAGUCUCUGCACACGUGUUUAUAAUAACACCGUUCGCAAUCGGCCAAAGUUAGAGACAACAGGACAUCCAUGGACCACAUGGCCAGCAGCAAGAAGCCAGAGCUGAGCUCAGCUGGAAGAACAGAUUCACAGUUUCUAUGUCCUGUUCUACUCUGCCUGUCACCCAGUCCCAUGCACACUGAUGAAGAGCAUGUUAAUGGUGUAUAAUGUAAGUUUGGGCAGAAAGAGACAAAUCUAGAAAGAAAGACCCUCAAGAAUAUAUACACAGCCCCUUGAGGUGGUUGUUCGUGCUCCAUGCUCAAACCCUCUCAAAAGUUACUAAAACAACAAGAGCACAAUGGGGGCUCAGUAAAUAUUUGGUUAGUGACUAAUUCUUUUCAGAGACAACCCUGAGAUCUUCCUGGAAGAGGAGGCCACGAGGUAGAGUCUGAAGGCUAAGUACCUCACUUGAGCCUCCCUUGCCUGUUUUCCUGAGUUCACCAUCCAGCCAGACUCUUUCCCAGAAUGACCUCAUCUCAUCGGUGCAGGCGCUUGCUCGGUUUCAGUCACUAUCUUUGUUCAGGCUUUCCCCCACGAUGCUGCUCACCGUCCCUGCCUUCCUUUCUUUGUCCCUUCUCAGCUGCCCUAUUUCUGGUGCUUAAUUACAGUCCUGCUAUGCAGACAAUAAUGACGCCAUCCUUCUCAAAAGAUGAUUGUGUCUGCUUGCUCUUUUGUCCAGAGCAAAAAGACAGCAAGCCCAUCUGAUCAUCAAAAGGAGUGCUGUGUUAGUUGGGGACCAUUUCAGGAGGCACUGAGUGACGCUGGCUGUCACCACACUCACCCGCUCACCCAAGUACCCAGUGCAGUUUCCAUUCUGCUUGCUCUUGAAGGCUAUCCUAUUAAAUUUAUUACACUUUUUAGACCUGAGUGCUUUACUUAAAAAAAAAAAAGCAAAACUCUUUGCAGCACGUACUUGAGGUGUGUGUGUGUGUGUGUGUGUGUGUGUGUGUGUGUGUGUGUGUAUGUUUUAAUGACAGCAAAGGAGAGAUUUGCCCAGCAGGAGCAAAUUUAGGACCUCAACAGUCUUGCUAGGAACUAAGCUCCUCUGUUCGGCCCCAGAUACAGCUCAGCAAAUGGACUUGCUGUUUCCAUUGGCAACGCAAAGCAAAGGCUCUGAAACUUUUCAAGGCCCUUCAAAUUCCACAAGACCUGGGGUGCCAAGUUGGGGCAGAAUCAGCCCCCAAAGAAGGGAAAGGAUACCAACAACUAAAAAUGAAUAGUAAUGUUACAUACAGAACUGUAUUUUUUUAACAGCCAAAAAAACCAUAAAUAGUGUGGAACAUGACUGUGUUUUGAUAUACACUAUCCCACCCAGGGGCAGCAAAGAAGAGGCAGGGCAGGUAUUGGAGGGCUCUGGAGGGCCUGCUGGCCACAGGGUUGCCUUUCUCCUUCCUCUCAUCUUUUGGCCUCCUAGAAGCCAUCUGGAAUGAUCCGAAGAGAAACCUUUUGUACGGUUCAGGAGAGCUUUUAUUUCCCCAUCAUAAAUCAGAGAAUUGGAACUUCAGUGGCAAGAGGAAGAUUUAAGAAUUAAAAUGAUGAAAACUUACAAGAUCUCCCCAACAGGAUGAUUUAAUGACAUCACCUUGGCCAAGAUUCAGGAAUUCGGGACUCCAAGUUAUCCUGAACAGUCUAAAACCGAAAAUGGAAAGAUGAUUUUGCUUUGAGUCCAUGUGAACUCUGUGGAUGAGGGGAUGGACGCGGAGAACAUCUAUUCUGAGUAGAUGAGUUAAACAUAAAACUCUCAACACCAGUGAGGAAAUCAGAUUCCACGUUCACUUAAACUGUCCGCAGAGACCUUCAUUUUACAAACAAGAAACCCAGUGAAGGAAAGUCUGGCCUGGCAUUCCUUUCAUUUGCAGAUGUUGUGUAUCCUCAUUAUUCAUUGUAAACAGAGAAGGCUCCGUGCCACCUCAGUCAUACUGCAGGAGGAUGUUUUCACCAGCUCAGAAAAGGGGGGAAUGGGUGUAAAAAUAUUUAUGCUGCAUUUUCCAGGACUGUGUUUGAUUUCCUUUUUGGUUUGUUUAUUUUGUGGAAUGAGAGGGAUGGUGCAUCUUAUUUUUACAAGCUUGUAUUGUUACCCCAGGAAUGUUUUGGCAGAUGCAAAAUUAAAAACAAACUUCAUGUUUUCUUCAGUGCCCUUCAGGGCCCGAAAGGACAGGAACAAAGUAUCGUGGUUUGUCAUCAGAGCGCCAGGAAGCCACAAGGAAACGGAGUUUAUGAACCAAAUUGCUCAAAACGGGAAAGAAAUGAAAAAUGUGCAGCAGAUGCUCCCAGACUGGAGAACAAGCCAGAGGAAGGCCCACAGCAAAGCUUAUUGGCCUUCAACAAUAGCUGUUUGCACGCACAUGCGCGCGCAUGCGCACACACACACACACACACACACACACACACACACACACACCAAUUCUCUUCUAUAGUCAUUUCCCUGGGAUUUGAAAUUGAUAACUGUGGACACAAAGACACACUUGGCCUAAUUUGUCAGGCUAUUUGGAGUCAUGGGUGUCACCCUGCAUGUCUGGUAUGUGUACAGAUGGCUCCUGCUGGCUUCAAUAAAAUUGGAAAGCAGAAAGUCUGUAAUUUUUUUUCCAGACCAUUUAAAGGGGUUGCUUGUCAGUGCCCUGGUGUUGAAAUGGGAAUGUUAUACUGACUUUCUGGAAGUGUUCCCCAUGUUUAUAGACUGGUAACACAAUGUGUGGGUGAAAGAGAGAGCGAGCCAAUCAAUACUGUCAUCCAGUCUACUGAGUGCUUCAGCCAAACGUGCCCCCCCCCCGCCCCCGUUUUGCUGGUAAGCAAUGCUCCUGCUUGAUCAUGCAAGCAUUCAUUAAGGCAGCAAUUUCCAAAUCACUUUGCCAUUCUUUUGCAAUAUCCAUCAUUUAUCUACUUUUCAAAGACACUUGGUUUGUUUAAAAAUAAAAUAAAUUACCAGGGAAUCUGAGGCAGGCGGCUUACCUACUUCAAGACAACAUAGGGGAGAUCAUAUAUUACAAACAAAGCAAAGUAACAACAACAACAAUAAUAAUAAUUCUACAAAGUUUACAUUGUAACUCUGAAGAGAAACAAACAACUCACCACUACUACAAAGUAGCUAUCAAAAUUAUCUUGCCUAUCUAAGGUUGGGGAGUUGCAAGUAGGUGUCCACAGGGCAGAUAGAGAUGCUGAAGUAGAGAACAUCUCUGAAGAUGAAGAUGGAAGGGCAGUGGGGAAGGGACUGAACUAACUCUGAUGCCUGUGAAGGCUGUCUCCAUCCUGGAAGUAGACAUUUAUCUUGUGUUAGACCAGUGGUUUUCAACCUUCCCAAUGCUGCUACCCUUUAACACAGCUCCUCAUGUUGUGGUGACAGCCCUCCCCCUCCACCCCCCCCCCGCCGUAUAAUUACUUUGCUAAUACUUCAUAACUGUAAUUUUGCAACUGUUAUGAAUUGUAACGUAAAUAUCUGAUAUGCAGAAUACCUGAUAUGAGACCUACAAAAGGACAGUGAACCCCAGGUUGAGAACUACUGCUUGUAAGAGGUUUAUUAUUAUUUAUUGUUAUUUCUUGGGUGAAGAAAAAGUACUUACCUUCCGAAACUGAUCCCAGACAUGUUUAUUCCUUUUAUUUGGAUACUUGCACUGUGUGUUCCAAAGGGAGAUUAAUAUGUGAUAGUCCCCUUAACAGCUGUUGUUUCUGGAAAAUGUAGAUUCAGGCACUUGGUUUUGUGAUUUUGAGGGUUCUCACAGAGAAGCCGGCUACACAGACAAGCAAAGGAAAGAUUAGAGAAGUCUGUUUGCCCAAAGUCACACUUGGGUAACUCAAAUCAGGCUGCCUAUAAUUUGGGGCAUCUUCUUACUGUCUGCAUUUUGCAGUAUGUUAAACUCGUUUACAUUUGGUGUUUUGUGUCUAGACAAACACGUUUGUCCUGAAAAGUGCUUGCUUUCUCUCGUGAUGGUCUAGUGCUGCCACAGUUCUGCAUCAUGGCCCAAGCUCCAUGAAAUAAAACGAUGACAAUUGUUCUUACAGCUCUAGGCUGACCCUAGGGAACCAGGUUCAGCACCUGAGAGAGAUACAUUCUAAAUGUCUCCCACUCUGUGCCCUGGGACUCUGGAGCUACCCAGGAUGUACCCUUCCUUGGACAAGGGCACAGAAACAG
RNAcentral lists this long non-coding RNA (5891 nucleotides) under Cricetulus griseus (Chinese hamster). RNAcentral describes it as "lncRNA (ENSCGRG00015038176.1)". The record is from RNAcentral. Lineage: Eukaryota; Metazoa; Chordata; Mammalia; Rodentia; Cricetidae.